UACGUAGGUGGCAAGCGUUGUCCGGAUUUACUGGGCGUAAAGAGCGCGCAGGCGGUCGAGUAAGUCGAAUGUGAAAGCCCCCGGCUUAACUGGGGAGGGUCAUUCGAUACUGUUCGACUUGAAGGCAGGAGAGGGCAGCAGAAUUCCCGGUGUAGUGGUGAAAUGCGCAGAUAUCAGGAGGAACACCGAUUGCGAAGGCAGCUCGCUGGGACGUAACUGACGCUGAGACGCGAAAGCGUGGGGAGCAAACAGG
This 253-nucleotide ribosomal RNA is filed under the name uncultured bacterium. RNAcentral's name for it is "partial 16S ribosomal RNA". It matches the Rfam family "Bacterial small subunit ribosomal RNA", at positions 524 to 776 of the family's 1533-position model. The record is from RNAcentral.